AAUAGCAUGCUGUUAGCAUUAAAGAAAACCCAAUCCGGGCAGGCAGAAAGCACUCUAGCCUUACUGCAGCUUGGGGUGCCUCACUCUCUCCCCUGCCCCUUCUCCCAGCUGGGAGGGAGCCCCUCUGCCCUCCGGGCUCUCCUGCUCCCCUGGGCUUCUCCAGGCCUCUCCAUCUCCCCCCAUGCCCCUCUCUCUCUCUCUCCCUCCGUGGAUCCUUGCUCUCCCUCAGCUUCCAGGUCUCUGCUGGUCCCCAGGGAGCACUUUGACCUCUGCUCCCCCCUCAGGUGCUGUGGAUGAAGCCUCACCCCCAACCCACCAUUCCACCAAAGGGGCUGCUGAUCCAGAGGCCCCACCCAGCCAGAACUGCCAUAAACCACAAAAUCCUCCAAAGGAACGAAGCUCCAACAUCCAAACUGCGAACUACCUUGAGCUAGCAGUUUCGCUCGUUGUCCGGCAGGUGUCGCUGUGGACCGCUCAAAAAAUCCUCCGCAGCCCGAAUCCUCGCGCAAUGGGGACGGUAGAUAAUUCAGUACGUGGUGGCUGUGAGCUUUAUUGCUAUUCUCUCCUGGGCGAGCAGCGAUUUGCAAAGGCAGAGUUCAGAGAGAGCACAAGUGGAGGGAAUGGUGGAGGGAGAAGAAGAAGCAGGCUCCCCACUGAGCCAGGAACCCAUGCAGAACUCUGAACUCAUUCCCAGGACUCUGAUACUACGACCUGGGCCGAAGGUAGAGGCAUAACGGACAGAGCUACCCAGGCACCCUGAGGCCCUAAUUCUGGCAUUCAAGGCCAUCAGGACCUCAGGCCCACCCCCUUCCCAGCCCCACUGUGAGCCAUCUCCAGAGCACACCUGGAACUCCCUCACACCCAUGCUUUUGCACAAGUUCUUUUCUCUACCUGGACACUUCCACUUGUUCGCCUGUGCCGAAGAUCCUCCAUGGUCUCCUCCUGACCCCAACUGUUGUCUGCAGCCACGGGAGCCUUCACCUGCCUCCCCGGAGCAGGACCAGAAGCAGCAGGAAGCCCCAGACUGAGGGUUAGAAACACAGGUAUGUCGGGAUAAACCACAGUGAGCCAGAUGGAAAGAUGGUCUCCAAAGAGAUAUCCGCAGUUACCGUGAAAUAGUGGAAUUUCAGUUCUGAUACAGGCGCAUAGUGACCCUCAAGGGUAGAACAAAGACAAGUCAGAAAAGUACCCAUGGAAGAGAGGGACCAGCCCCCGGCGCGCCUUCCUCUGCUUUGAUGUCAUCCUCUUCCUGGACAGCAGAGGGCGCUCUAUUUCCACGCCAAAAAAAAAAAAAAA
Long non-coding RNA from Lontra canadensis (Northern American river otter), 1296 nucleotides. RefSeq lists it as uncharacterized. The record is from RefSeq and is a predicted model, not a curated record. The transcript has 6 exons. NCBI's taxonomy places the organism in Eukaryota, Metazoa, Chordata, Mammalia, Carnivora, Mustelidae.